Molecule: ribosomal RNA, 444 nt
Filed under: uncultured bacterium
Lineage: Bacteria
Description: partial 16S ribosomal RNA
Rfam family: Bacterial small subunit ribosomal RNA
Source: RNAcentral
GUGAGGAAUAUUGCGCAAUGGAGGCAACUCUGACGCAGCCAUGCCGCGUGCAGGAAGAAGGCGCUACGCGUUGUAAACUGCUUUUAACCGGGAAGAAACCCCAGGACGUGUCCUGGGUUGACGGUACCGGAGGAAUAAGCACCGGCUAACUUCGUGCCAGCAGCCGCGGUAAUACGAAGGGUGCAAGCGUUAUCCGGAUUCAUUGGGUUUAAAGGGUGCGUAGGCGGAGCGUUAAGUCAGUGGUGAAAUCCUGCAGCUUAACUGUAGACUUGCCAUUGAUACUGGCGCUCUUGAGUGCGCUUGAAGUGGGCGGAAUGUGCCGUGUAGCGGUGAAAUGCUUAGAUAUGGCACAGAACACCAAUUGCGAAGGCAGCUCACUAAGGCGAUACUGACGCUGAGGCACGAAAGCGUGGGGAUCGAACAGGAUUAGAUACCCUUGUAGUC